AUAAAAGCGAGUUUAAUAUUUUGUAACUGCAACUGUAUGAUGGUGCUUACAGGAAAUCUUAAUUCCCUUUUGCAAACAAAACUGUUACUACCGAUGCUGCUACCAAAUUGCUGAUGGAGAAGGAAUUGGAAGAAGACAUUGAUCAUUGUGUUGAUGAUGAUGUGCUUCCUUUAGAAACACAGACUGCCCUGAAACGACUGAAAACUUGGAAAAGAGCAUGUAUGAGUGGCGAGAGAUUGUGCGGGCUGGCCAUGUUCAUCGCGAUAAGAAUAUCAGCAGACCAAAUUAUGAUUCUGAAACGAGUUGACUGAACCGGCC
This 318-nucleotide long non-coding RNA is filed under the name Mytilus galloprovincialis (Mediterranean mussel). The record is from RNAcentral. Lineage: Eukaryota; Metazoa; Mollusca; Bivalvia; Mytilida; Mytilidae.